This 282-nucleotide ribosomal RNA is filed under the name uncultured prokaryote. RNAcentral describes it as "partial 16S ribosomal RNA". It matches the Rfam family "Bacterial small subunit ribosomal RNA", at positions 524 to 803 of the family's 1533-position model. The record is from RNAcentral.
UACGAAGGGUACAAGCGUUAAUCGGAAUUACUGGGCGUAAAGCGCGCGUAGGUGGUUCGUUAAGUUAGGAGUGAAAGCCCCGGGCUCAACCUGGGAAUUGCUUCUAAAACUGGCGAGCUAGAGUAUGGUAGAGGGUGGUGGAAUUUCCUGUGUAGCGGUGAAAUGCGUAGAUAUAGGAAGGAACAUCAGUGGCGAAGGCGACCACCUGGACUGAUACUGACACUGAGGUGCGAAAGCGUGGGGAGCAAACAGGAUUAGAUACCCCGGUAGUCCCUGAGCGGG